AUUGAACGCUGGCGGCAGGCCUAACACAUGCAAGUCGAGCGGAUGAAGGGAGCUUGCUCCUGCUUCAGCGGCGGACGGGUGAGUAAUGCCUAGGAAUCUGCCUGGUAGUGGGGGAUAACGUCCGGAAACGGGCGCUAAUACCGCAUACGUCCUGAGGGAGAAAGUGGGGGAUCUUCGGACCUCACGCUAUCAGAUGAGCCUAGGUCGGAUUAGCUAGUUGGUGGGGUAAAGGCCUACCAAGGCGACGAUCCGUAACUGGUCUGAGAGGAUGAUCAGUCACACUGGAACUGAGACACGGUCCAGACUCCUACGGGAGGCAGCAGUGGGGAAUAUUGGACAAUGGGCGAAAGCCUGAUCCAGCCAUGCCGCGUGUGUGAAGAAGGUCUUCGGAUUGUAAAGCACUUUAAGUUGGGAGGAAGGGCAGUAAGUUAAUACCUUGCUGUUUUGACGUUACCCACAGAAUAAGCACCGGCUAACUUCGUG
This 483-nucleotide ribosomal RNA is filed under the name uncultured bacterium. RNAcentral's name for it is "partial 16S ribosomal RNA". It matches the Rfam family "Bacterial small subunit ribosomal RNA", at positions 30 to 507 of the family's 1533-position model. The record is from RNAcentral.